AUUAUGGCUCAGGAUGAACGCUGGCGGUAUGCCUAACGCAUGCAAGUCGUACGAGAGUUUUUAACUCAAGUGGCGGACGGGUGAGUAACACGUGAGAAUUUGCCUUUAGGAGGGGGAUAACAGAGUGAAAACGCUGCUAAUACCCCAUAUGCUUUCGAGUGAAAUGGAUUUAUUCGCCUAAAGAGAAGCUCGCGGCUGAUUAGCUUGUUGGUAAGGUAAUGGCUUACCAAGGCGACGAUCAGUAUCUGGUUUGAGAGGACGAUCAGACACACUGGAACUGAGACACGGUCCAGACUCCUACGGGAGGCAGCAGUGGGGAAUUUUCCGCAAUGGGCGAAAGCCUGACGGAGCAAUACCGCGUGAGGGAAGACGGCCUAUGGGUUGUAAACCUCUUUUCUCAGGGAGGAACUCAAUGACGU
This 419-nucleotide ribosomal RNA is filed under the name uncultured bacterium. RNAcentral's name for it is "bacterial SSU rRNA". It matches the Rfam family "Bacterial small subunit ribosomal RNA", at positions 16 to 475 of the family's 1533-position model. The record is from RNAcentral.